UGUCAAACAAAAUCUUUCUCCCUUUCUUUCUUUCUUUCUUUCUUUCUUUCUUUCUUUCUUUCUUUCUUUCUUUCUUUCUUUCUUUCUUUCUUUCUUUCUUUCUUUCUUUCUUUCUUUCUUUCUUUCUUUCUUUCUUUCUUUCUUUCUUUCUUUCUUUCUUUCUUUCUUUCUUUCUUUCUUUCUUUCUUUCUUUCUCUCUCUCUUUCUUUCUUUCUCUCUUUCUUUCUCUCUCUCUCUCUCUCUCUUUCUCUCUUUCUCUCUUUCUCUCUUUCUUUCUCUCUUUCUUUCUUUCUCUCUUUCUUUCUCUCUUUCUUUCUUUCUCUCUUUCUUUCUAUCUCUCUUUCUUUCUUUCUCUCUUUCUUUCUCUCUCUCUUUCUCUCUCUCUUUCUUUCUUUCUUUCUUUCUUUCUUUCAUUCUUUCUUUCUUUCUUUCUUUCUUUCUUUCUUUCUUUCUAUCAAUCUUUCUUUCUUUCUUUCAAUCCUUCUUUCUUUCGGUCAAUCGUUCUUUCUUUCUUUCUUUCUUUCUUUCUUUCUUUCUUUCUUUCCCUGUGUGGGGUCUUUCUUUCUUUCUCUCUCUCUUUCUUUCUUUCUCUCUUUCUUUCUCUCUCUCUCUCUCUCUCUUUCUCUCUUUCUCUCUUUCUCUCUAUCUUUCUCUCUAUCUUUCUUUCUCUCUUUCUUUCUCUCUUUCUUUCUUUCUCUCUUUCUUUCUUUCUCUCUUUCUUUCAUUCUCUCAUUCUUUCUCUCUCUCAUUCUCUCUCUCUUUCUUUCUUUCAUUCUUUCUUUCUUUCUUUCUUUCUUUCUUUCUUUCUUUCUUUCUUUCUAUCUUUCUUUCUUUCUUUCUUUCUUUCUUUCUUUCUUUCUUUCUUUCUUUCUUUCUUUCUUUCUUUCUUUCUUUCUUUCUCUGUUUCAUGGAUUUCCUAACAUGAGUAAAUAUUCUUUAUGUAUAAUGGUACUAUACUAUUCCUUGAACUAAUAGUCUGUUUCUUUUGUAAUAGUUAAAGGAAUUGUUGAGGAUUGAAGAGGUAUAGGGGAUAAGGAAGGAUUUGUAACAGGGAAUGGAGGAGUUGAAGGGACACAGGGAAUAUGGAUUCUGGUGAGGUAAAAGGAGAGAGAUACCCUCUGCUGAGAGGCUAUCUUUAAAAAUGGGGUUCCUAAGAAAUGGGCCAACUAUGAUAGCCUGCGGGGAUGUACUCUUUGUUGACUGUUGUUGAAGGUACCCCAGAGCAGGUAAUCAUGGACCCUCCUGAGGGACAAGCCUC
RNAcentral lists this long non-coding RNA (1258 nucleotides) under Monodelphis domestica (gray short-tailed opossum). RNAcentral's name for it is "lncRNA (ENSMODG00000027401.2)". The record is from RNAcentral. Lineage: Eukaryota; Metazoa; Chordata; Mammalia; Didelphimorphia; Didelphidae.